This 253-nucleotide ribosomal RNA is filed under the name uncultured bacterium. RNAcentral's name for it is "partial 16S ribosomal RNA". It matches the Rfam family "Bacterial small subunit ribosomal RNA", at positions 524 to 776 of the family's 1533-position model. The record is from RNAcentral.
UACGGAGGGUGCAAGCGUUAUCCGGAUUCACUGGGUUUAAAGGGUGCGUAGGUGGGCAGGUAAGUCAGUGGUGAAAUCUCCGGGCUUAACUCGGAAACUGCCAUUGAUACUAUCUUUCUUGAAUACCGUGGAGGUCAGCGGAAUAUGUCAUGUAGCGGUGAAAUGCUUAGAUAUGACAUAGAACACCUAUUGCGAAGGCAGCUUACUACGCAUAUAUUGACGCUGAGGCACGAAAGCGUGGGAAUCAAACAGG